GAUGAACGCUGACAGAAUGCUUAACACAUGCAAGUCGAUUCAAGUUACCUUCGGGUAAUGAGGAUGGCGGACGGGUGAGUAACGCGUAAGGAACUUGCCUCUUGGUCUGGGACAACUGUUGGAAACGACAGCUAAUACCGGAUAUUAUGAGAUUCUCGCAUGGGAAACUUAUGAAAGCUAUAUGCGCCAAGAGAGAGCCUUGCGUUCCAUUAGCUAGUUGGUGGGGUAAUGGCCCACCAAGGCGACGAUGGAUAGCCGGCCUGAGAGGGUGAACGGCCACAAGGGGACUGAGACACGGCCCUUACUCCUACGGGAGGCAGCAGUGGGGAAUAUUGGACAAUGGGCCACAAGCCUGAUCCAGCAAUUCUGUGUGCACGAUGAAGGUCUUCGGAUUGUAAAGUGCUUUCAGUUGGGAAGAAGAAAGUGACGGUACCAACAGAAGAAGCGACGGCUAAAUACGUGCCAGCAGCCGCGGUAAUACGUAUGUCGCAAGCGUUAUCCGGAUUUAUUGGGCGUAAAGCGCGUCUAGGCGGAAAAAUAAGUCUGAUGUUAAAAUGCGGGGCUCAACUCCGUAUUGCGUUGGAAACUGUUUUUCUAGAGUACUGGAGAGGUGGGCGGAACUACAAGUGUAGAGGUGAAAUUCGUAGAUAUUUGUAGGAAUGCCGAUGGAGAAGUCAGCUCACUGGACAGAUACUGACGCUGAAGCGCGAAAGCGUGGGGAGCAAACAGGANUAGAUACCCUGGUAGUCC
RNAcentral lists this ribosomal RNA (750 nucleotides) under uncultured prokaryote. RNAcentral describes it as "bacterial SSU rRNA". It matches the Rfam family "Bacterial small subunit ribosomal RNA", at positions 28 to 796 of the family's 1533-position model. The record is from RNAcentral.